Molecule: long non-coding RNA, 298 nt
Filed under: Mus musculus (house mouse)
Lineage: Eukaryota; Metazoa; Chordata; Mammalia; Rodentia; Muridae
Description: long non-coding RNA chr11:54404139-54404437
Source: RNAcentral
AUGGCCAAUAUUAAGGCUUGGGACCUUUGGGUCAAGAAGGAGGAGCUGUUGAAACAACUGGAUGAUCUGAAGGUGACGCUGUCCCAGCUCUGCAUUACCAAGGAAACAGGUUGCACUGCAUCCAAGCUACCCAAUAAAAAUCUGCAAAUCCAUUGCUUGUGUCCUCACUGUCAUCAACCAGACUCAAAAAGAAAACCUCAGGAAAUUCUACAAGGGCAAGAAAGACAUGCCUCUGGACCUAAGACCCAAGAAGACUAGAGCCUAAUGCCACUGGCUCACCAAGCACGAAGAGAAGCUG